CCUACGGGGGGCAGCAGUGAGGAAUAUUGGUCAAUGGACGAGAGUCUGAACCAGCCAAGUAGCGUGAAGGAUGACUGCCCUAUGGGUUGUAAACUUCUUUUAUAAAGGAAUAAAACGAGGCACGUGUGCCUUGUUGCAUGUACUUUAUGAAUAAGGAUCGGCUAACUCCGUGCCAGCAGCCGCGGUAAUACGGAGGAUCCGAGCGUUAUCCGGAUUUCUUGGGGUUACAGGGAGCGUAGAUGGGUUGUUAAGUCAGUUGUGAAAGUUUGCGGCUCAACCGUAAAAUUGCAAUUGAUACUGGCAGUCUUGAUUACAGUUGUGGUCGGCGGCAUUCGUUGUGUAGCGGU
RNAcentral lists this ribosomal RNA (347 nucleotides) under uncultured bacterium. RNAcentral describes it as "partial 16S ribosomal RNA". It matches the Rfam family "Bacterial small subunit ribosomal RNA", at positions 338 to 682 of the family's 1533-position model. The record is from RNAcentral.